RNAcentral lists this long non-coding RNA (2069 nucleotides) under Equus caballus (horse). Its description in RNAcentral is "lncRNA (ENSECAG00000052018.1)". The record is from RNAcentral. Lineage: Eukaryota; Metazoa; Chordata; Mammalia; Perissodactyla; Equidae.
GCCAGACUGCCCAGGCUUGAAUCCUGCUGUGGCACAUAUUGCUGUGUAACCUUAGGUGAAUUACUAAAACCUUCUGUGCCUCAGUUUACCUCUCUGCAAAAUGAAGUUAAAAUAUCAACUACCUCUUAAGGUUUUUGUGAGGAUUAACUGAGUGAAUAUUUGUUAAGCACUUACACAUUGCCUGUCAGAUGGUAAGCGCGAAGUGUUUGUUCAAGAGGAGAUUUUUGUCUUUGGAGGAGGAAAGUGAUGUGACAAAAAUUGAACAGCAGAAUGCUCCCUCUGGGGUCAGUGAGAAUGCUGGACUAGUGAGAAGCCCUGUGUGUACGGGAGACUGGGGAAAGGUGGAGGCUGUAGUGAAAGCAAUUAGAAAGCCAAUAGAAUGAGCCACUUUCAUUCAGUAUUCCAUUCAUUUUCCUUCUGCUAAUUGGCCUCUCCUUGUUGCUUGGUCAGAGUUAAAUCUCAGUGCACAAGCUCCCAUUUUGUUCUCUUCCAUCUUCUGAGAAAAGAAAUUAUCAGCCAGGCAAUUCGGCCGUCAGGCAUCUUCCAGCUGCUCUGCAGUGGGCACAGUAAGACAUGUUGUCGAUAUUUGGAUAGAUGAUGGUUCUUCAUCUUGCCUACAUCUUAACCUCUGUAAUUUGAGGAAAGCGUCCAAUUCACUGCUUUCUGUGUGGAGGUGGCUAAUAAACAACAAACACACGUAAAAAAAACCCAGCAACAGCAUAUCUGAUCAGCAGUCCUGCUGUAUGUAAAAUCCUGUGUCUGUUGCUGACGAAAUGGUAUGAGCCUGAUAAUUAAGCCGGAAGUUCUUCCUGUAGAGUAGAGGAAAUGGGAUUUUCAUUUUUAACCUCUAAUCUGCUUUUCAUCACGUGAAAUGUACAUGAAACACACAUCCAGCAAAUGGUAGGUUAACAGUAGACCCUGGCUAUGUGUAAUAUUUGGUAUUUCAGGACACUCUGAAGUUCUGCUUUCUAAGAUUCAAGUCAAGAUAAAAGGCUCACGUGAGUAUUGUAACGCACAGCCCUGGUGGUGAGUCUUUGCUUCAAACUUGGAAGCAAUAUUGAUUGAAGCUCUGAGCAAGGGCCCUCGUUUCUGUCUCUGGAUUUGUCGAAAUGAUCCAUCUAAAAGGCUGUAGGCACGUUAUGCUCCCUCAGACCUAUGAAGGUAAGACAGUUGUUAAAAGGAAGGCACAGAAUCGGUGUCUGCAGAGACAGUUUCACGAUGAUAUGGAGUUUGAUUCUAGGCCUGUGUUUUCAGAUCCCAGCAUCUCCAGUUGCCUUUUCCCCACAACAAGCACUACACAUGGCCCGUCAGUUGUCCUUCCACAGUCCUGAAUUGAGAACCUUUGUUCUAGAGACCGCCUGGACCUUAGGCAGGAGGGAUCUAAGGAGUUGGAGGUGUGCAUUGGCUCAGCUUUCCCAUGAUUAUUGCUAUUGUCUGGCUUUGACAUGGCUACACUUUUUGAAGCUGAUUUCUCUACCAGCAUCAAAGACCUGAAUCCCCUUUGACCCACUUCUGAUGACAGAAGUCCAGCCUUCUUUCCCUGUGGUUGAAUGAGUUCACGACUUGUUAAUCUGCCCAGAUCAUCACAGUCUCUGAAAGACCAGAGCUUUUUAUUUUUUGCCCAUGAAGAAUUGGAGCCUGGCUUGGUGAAUUGCCGCUAGAAUUCCUUGGUCUUAACUAGGUGUUCUAUAUAGCACUAUUCCUGAAUGCCCCCUUUCGCUAGUCUCGCUCCUGGGACGUGUUCUUGCCUCUGUUGGGUGUCUCUGCGAUGAGGUCUGCUCAGAACAACGACCAGGCGCCAUGUUCCCAAGUAGCUUUGCACUUGGUUGAUUAGACCUGAUGCACAUGAAGCUGGGUCUUAUCUUGUUUUCCCACUGUUUAUUGGAGCGGAGAAGCUGGAUCUAGUUCUUGAUUUGGGCCCCUUCAAAUCUACUUCCCUCUGUUCUAACUGUAGGUCAUUGAAUUCUACGUAGCCCUUUACAUAAUGAAAAUUAUUAAUUCAAAUGAACCCAUUUUGAAGACCAGGCUGCUGGGCAUUCUGCUUCUGGACAGGGAUGGUGGAUCUGAAC